This 88-nucleotide transfer RNA is filed under the name Lentisphaerota bacterium. RNAcentral describes it as "Lentisphaerae bacterium (freshwater metagenome) tRNA-Ser". It matches the Rfam family "tRNA". From Rfam's summary of the family: Transfer RNA (tRNA) molecules are approximately 80 nucleotides in length. Their secondary structure includes four short double-helical elements and three loops (D, anti-codon, and T loops). The record is from RNAcentral. Lineage: Bacteria; Pseudomonadati; Lentisphaerota.
GGAGGGAUGGCUGAGUGGUUUAAAGCAUCGGUCUUGAAAACCGACGUGCCGCAAGGUACCGGGGGUUCGAAUCCCUCUCCCUCCGCCA